GUGAGAUUUUAGGCCAAAAAGCAAUAAAGACUCCUGUGUGUUAGUUCUUAAGGAGUUGUACUUCCAGCCUGCUGAUAGCUGUCAUUCUCAUAACCUCUGAAGAAACACGUACUCCACACACUGGCUGCACACACACAGAUCGGCUUGAGAAGCUGUAUGUCAGGGAUCACAUAGCCUUUCUUCUGCUCUUGUGUUCAGUUGACUGGUAGUUCUUCGCAAAUGAAUGAAUGCUACUAAAUGACCAGUUGAAUAAGAUUUCCUCAACUGGGCAAUUGUUGACAAGGAUAACCAACUUGCUCUGCCCUGUUUGAUCAUCUUCAGAGUCUGUUUGCUUCCCAGAACAUACUUUCAACUUCUUAAAACAAGUUGGAGCCUAAAGUUGAAUUGAUCUACUCCAGAGACUUUUUCCUCUUCUUUGGGGCCACCAUCUUCCUUCAUUAGGUAUGUGUCAGUCCCCAACUAAGAUCAACAUGGCCAAGGAGUGAGAGAAGGCCAAGCCUUUUGAAACUCAGCUAGCUUUUUAUGACGAAGAAGCCAUGACUUGGUUCUGAAACACCUCCUCCUCCUCAGCUCAGUGUUCCUUCUCCUUGGUGUGAUGGUAUGCCUCCUCUACAGGUCUGCAUGACAGCUGUUUCCAACAAACCUCUAUCGGGCCUUCCAGGAAGUUCUCUGAGAGCUAGAACUUCAGAAGUAAGAAUUCCCUGGUCCCAUGAAGUUUUGAAGAAGUUGAGUGGUAAUGAACAAGGAGUGACAGUGAGUGGACAAAGCAUUUGCCAGGAUUGUUGA
This 786-nucleotide long non-coding RNA is filed under the name Mus spicilegus (steppe mouse). Its description in RNAcentral is "lncRNA (ENSMSIG00000003156.1)". Lineage: Eukaryota; Metazoa; Chordata; Mammalia; Rodentia; Muridae. The record is from RNAcentral.